This 429-nucleotide ribosomal RNA is filed under the name Pseudomonadota bacterium. Its description in RNAcentral is "Proteobacteria bacterium partial 16S ribosomal RNA". It matches the Rfam family "Bacterial small subunit ribosomal RNA", at positions 355 to 776 of the family's 1533-position model. Lineage: Bacteria; Pseudomonadati; Pseudomonadota. The record is from RNAcentral.
UGGGGAAUAUUGGACAAUGGGCGAAAGCCUGAUCCAGCCAUGCCGCGUGUGUGAAGAAGGUCUUCGGAUUGUAAAGCACUUUAAGUUGGGAGGAGGGGCAGUAAGCGAAUACCUUGCUGUUUUGACGUUACCGACAGAAUAAGCACCGGCUAACUCUGUGCCAGCAGCCGCGGUAAUACAGAGGGUGCAAGCGUUAAUCGGAAUUACUGGGCGUAAAGCGCGCGUAGGUGGUUCGUUAAGUUGAAUGUGAAAGCCCCGGGCUCAACCUGGGAACUGCAUCCAAAACUGGCGAGCUAGAGUAGGGCAGAGGGUGGUGGAAUUUCCUGUGUAGCGGUGAAAUGCGUAGAUAUAGGAAGGAACACCAGUGGCGAAGGCGACCACCUGGGCUCAUACUGACACUGAGGUGCGAAAGCGUGGGGAGCAAACAGG